GAUCCUGCCGGAGGACAUUGCUAUUGGGAUUCGAUUUAGCCAUGCUAGUCGAACGAGUUCACACUCGUGGCACAUAGCUCAGUAACACGUGGCCAAGCUACCCUUCAGUCGGCAAUACCCUCGGGAAACUGAGGCUAAUAGCCGAUACGAAACAGACGCUGGAAUGCACUGUAUUCCAAAGACAUCGCUGAAGGAUGCGGCUGCGGCCGAUUAGGUAGACGGUGGGGUAACGGCCCACCGUGCCAGUAAUCGGUACGGGUGAUGAGAGUCAGAGCCCGGAGACGGAAUCUGAGACAAGAUUCCGGGCCCUACGGGGCGCAGCAGGCGCGAAACCUUUACACUGCACGAAAGUGCGAUAGGGGAAUCCCAAGUGCGAGGGCAUAUUAGCCCUCGCUUUUGUUGACUCUAAGGCGGUCAACGAAUAAGAGCUGGGCAAGACCGGUGCCAGCCGCCGCGGUAAUACCGGCAGCUCAAGUGAUGUCCCAUAUUAUUGGGCCUAAAGCGUCCGUAGCUGGCCGACCAAGUCUAUCGGGAAAUCCACCUGCCCAACAGGUGGGCGUCCGGUAGAAACUGGCCGGCUUGGAACCGGAAGGCUCAGAGAGUACGUCCGGGGUAGGAGUGAAAUCCCAUAAUCCCGCACGGACCACCGAUGGCGAAAGCACUUCGAGAAAACGGAUCCGACAGUGAGGGACGAAAGCCAGGGUCUCCAACCGGAUUAGAUACCCGGGUAGUCCUGGCCGUAAACAAUGUUCGCUAGGUAUGACACAGACUACGCGUCUCUGUUGUGCCGUAGGGAAGCCGAGAAGCGAACCGCCUGGGAAGUACGUCUGCAAGGAUGAAACUUAAAGGAAUUGGCGGGGGAGCACUACAACCGGAGGAGCCUGCGGUUUAAUUGGACUCAACGCCGGACAUCUCACCAGCUCCGACUACAGUGAUGACGACCAGGUUGAUGACCUCAUCACGACGCUGUAGAGAGGAGGUGCAUGGCCGCCGUCAGCUCGUACCGUGAGGCGUCCUGUUAAGUCAGGCAACGAGCGAGACCCGCACUCCUAAUUGCCAGCAACAAUUUCGAUUGGUUGGGUACAUUAGGAGGACUGCCAGUGUUAAACUGGAGGAAGGAACGGGCAACGGUAGGUCAGUAUGCCCCGAAUGAGCUGGGCAACACGCGGGCUACAAUGGCUAAGACAAUGGGUCGCUAUCUCGACAGAGAACGCUAAUCUCGAAACUUAGUCGUAGUUCGGAUUGAGGGCUGAAACUCGCCCUCAUGAAGCUGGAUUCGGUAGUAGCCGCCUUUCAGUAGAAGGCGACGAAUACGUCCCUGCUCCUUGUACACACCGCCCGUCA
RNAcentral lists this ribosomal RNA (1344 nucleotides) under uncultured Haloquadratum sp. RNAcentral's name for it is "bacterial SSU rRNA". It matches the Rfam family "Archaeal small subunit ribosomal RNA". The record is from RNAcentral. Lineage: Archaea; Methanobacteriati; Methanobacteriota; Halobacteria; Halobacteriales; Haloferacaceae.